This 767-nucleotide long non-coding RNA is filed under the name Olea europaea (common olive). RNAcentral describes it as "long non-coding RNA (OEUR_LNC003369)". The record is from RNAcentral. Lineage: Eukaryota; Viridiplantae; Streptophyta; Magnoliopsida; Lamiales; Oleaceae.
ACGGACCUCGUUACAGCAUCAUUUCCUUUCCCCUUCCCUCCACCAUCUCCGCCACCAUUACGCUGCCGCUUCAAAUGGGUUCACAGACAAGAAACGGCAUAAGCGCGGUGACGAGGAGGAGGAGAAGAAGGCCCUCUAAAGUUCAUAGAAGCUUGAGGCCGGGCAACAUUGGUAGAACAACCGCCGGUGGUUCAUCGGUUUCGGACAAGUUGGAGGCCUUAAAGAACCUUAUUCCAUCCAAAAAUGGGGAGAUGAAACCCGACCAGCUGUUUCAAGAAACGGCCGACUACAUUGUACUUCUCAAUACUCAAGUUCUCGUUUUGCAGAAAUUGAUUGAUUUUUAUGGGUCUCAACCUCAAGAAAACGAAAAUGAAAAUUCUGUAUAGAUCAUAAGCAAAUAUUUUCCAUUAUCAAUGAAUCCAUAGGUCUGGAAAUGGGAAGAAAUGGUUCUUCACGUUAUUCGUUAUAAAAUGAAGUAGAUUUUAGUAUAAAAGAGUUUUAUGUUUCCUUUGUGCCAUCGAAAUUCUUUGUUUCUCUUUGAUGGGUUCUUGACUUGUUGCUUCUUAUUUUCCUAUUUCUUGUAGUUAUUGAUUCUUGAUGAGAAUAUAUUUCCUCCUUAACCAGUAUACCUUCUUGGCUAGAGGGCUGGACUGGGGUUCUGGGAAAAUCUCUACGAAUUCUAAGUAGAAAAGACAGAUCCGACCCCUCACGGGGAGCCUAGUCAAAGGAGUAGUUCGCAGAGCACUAUUGAAAUGCUAUACGCAAAG